This 497-nucleotide ribosomal RNA is filed under the name uncultured bacterium. Its description in RNAcentral is "partial 16S ribosomal RNA". It matches the Rfam family "Bacterial small subunit ribosomal RNA", at positions 28 to 507 of the family's 1533-position model. The record is from RNAcentral.
GAUGAACGCUGGCGGCGUGCCUAAUACAUGCAAGUCGAGCGAACGGACGAGGAGCUUGCUUCUCUGAUGUUAGCGGCGGACGGGUGAGUAACACGUGGAUAACCUACCUAUAAGACUGGGAUAACUUCGGGAAACCGGAGCUAAUACCGGAUAAUAUUUUGAACCGCAUGGUUCAAUAGUGAAAGACGGUUUUGCUGUCACUUAUAGAUGGAUCCGCGCCGCAUUAGCUAGUUGGUAAGGUAACGGCUUACCAAGGCAACGAUGCGUAGCCGACCUGAGAGGGUGAUCGGCCACACUGGAACUGAGACACGGUCCAGACUCCUACGGGAGGCAGCAGUAGGGAAUCUUCCGCAAUGGGCGAAAGCCUGACGGAGCAACGCCGCGUGAGUGAUGAAGGUCUUCGGAUCGUAAAACUCUGUUAUUAGGGAAGAACAAAUGUGUAAGUAACUAUGCACGUCUUGACGGUACCUAAUCAGAAAGCCACGGCUAACUACGUG